AUCUUAACUUUAAAAUUUAAAAUUUAAAAUUUAGAACUUUAAAUUUUUAAAUUUGAGAUAUAAUAAUUUAAAUUUAAAUUUUAAAUUUUUUAAUUAUAAAAGUUAUAUAUUUAAAUUUAAAAUUUUAAAUAUAAAAUUAAAAAAUUAAAAUUCAAAUAUAAUAUAAAGGACAAUAUUAUUAUUUUCUAUUUAUAUUUACCCACUAUUCUUCUUAUUCCAUCUUAUUUAUUCAAAAGUUAUUUUUCUUAUUCCCGAUAACAACUCAAUUUUUAUGUAAAUACAAAAUUUGUGUAUUUCAGAUUUAUAUCUAAACUUAUGUUUAUUUUUGUAAUAAAUAUAUCUAAACUUAUGUUUAUUUUUGUAAUAAAUAAUUUUUAUUUAU
Molecule: long non-coding RNA, 382 nt
Filed under: Ananas comosus (pineapple)
Lineage: Eukaryota; Viridiplantae; Streptophyta; Magnoliopsida; Poales; Bromeliaceae
Description: long non-coding RNA (ACOM_LNC023088)
Source: RNAcentral